AUUGAACGCUGGCGGCAUGCCUUACACAUGCAAGUCGAACGGCAGCACGGGAGCAAUCCUGGUGGCGAGUGGCGAACGGGUGAGUAAAGUAUCGGAACGUGCCCAGUCGUGGGGGAUAACGUAGCGAAAGUUACGCUAAUACCGCAUACGAUCUAUGGAUGAAAGCGGGGGAUCGCAAGACCUCGCGCGAUUGGAGCGGCCGAUAUCAGAUUAGGUAGUUGGUGGGGUAAAGGCGCACCAAGCCGACGAUCUGUAGCUGGUCUGAGAGGACGACCAGCCACACUGGGACUGAGACACGGCCCUGACGCCUACGGGAGGCAGCAGUGAGGAAUUUUGGACAAUGGGCGAAAGCCUGAUCCAGCCAUGCCGCGUGCAGGAUGAAGGCCUUCGGGUUGUAAACUGCUUUUGUACGGAACGAAAAGGUUUGGCCUAAUAAGCUGAGCUCAUGACGGUACCGUAAGAAUAAGCACCGGCUAACUACGUGCCAGCCGCCGCGGUAA
RNAcentral lists this ribosomal RNA (500 nucleotides) under uncultured bacterium. RNAcentral describes it as "partial 16S ribosomal RNA". It matches the Rfam family "Bacterial small subunit ribosomal RNA", at positions 30 to 523 of the family's 1533-position model. The record is from RNAcentral.